GGGUAUAUAGCUCACUGGUAGAGUGUGUGCUUAGCAUGCAUGAGGUCCUGGAUUCAAUCCCCAGCACCUCCA
This 72-nucleotide transfer RNA is filed under the name Camelus bactrianus (Bactrian camel). It matches the Rfam family "tRNA". Rfam says of the family: Transfer RNA (tRNA) molecules are approximately 80 nucleotides in length. Their secondary structure includes four short double-helical elements and three loops (D, anti-codon, and T loops). Lineage: Eukaryota; Metazoa; Chordata; Mammalia; Artiodactyla; Camelidae. RNAcentral also lists the same sequence under 1 other name. The record is from Rfam by way of RNAcentral.